AAGUCGUAACAAGGUUUCCGUAGGUGAACCUGCGGAAGGAUCAUUAUUGAUUGGUCGAAAGACCUUAUCAGAUUCUACCACCUCUGUGAACCGUUGACCUCCGGGUUAACAAUCAAACAUCAGUGUAACGAACGUAAGAGUAUCUUAAUUAAACAAAACUUUUAACAACGGAUCUCUUGGCUCUC
Molecule: unclassified non-coding RNA, 185 nt
Filed under: Papiliotrema flavescens
Lineage: Eukaryota; Fungi; Basidiomycota; Tremellomycetes; Tremellales; Rhynchogastremaceae
Description: partial internal transcribed spacer region
Rfam family: Eukaryotic small subunit ribosomal RNA (bases 1-46)
Source: RNAcentral